This is a long non-coding RNA of Chrysemys picta bellii (western painted turtle), 784 nucleotides long. RefSeq lists it as uncharacterized. The record is from RefSeq and is a predicted model, not a curated record. NCBI's taxonomy places the organism in Eukaryota, Metazoa, Chordata, Testudines, Emydidae.
GCUGUCAACCCUCUCAUAUACCGAGGGUGCACCAGCCUAAGUGCCUCUACUUUCUCAACUGCGGCAACAUAUCACCGUGAAAGAUGUGGUCCCUCAGGCAGAACCCAUGUAUGAAGUCGUCUUUUUGCCUCAGACUGUUUGACAGCUGCUUCCUUGUUUGGAUGUUACUUCUUUGUAGGCACAAUUUCUUUGGCUUCUUUCAUCUUCUUUUACUCAUCAUAUCUCCAUGUACCCUUGAGACUCCAAUCAUUGACUCCUUGUUUAUGGAUACAAGCUGGUCUCCAGGCUUCAGUCUUCCAUCCUAAACAGUAACAAUAAAGAAUCCAAGUGUGGCAUUCUGUAUUGAUUGUUGAUGAAGAUGCAACUGAAACAAUUUUCUAAUUGCAACAGUUUAACAUGUAUUUUUGAACCUAUGAAUUUAAGAAACAGUCAAGGCUGUCCAGACUUUCUGCCUGGACCAGUAUGUUUAAUCUGUAAAUUAGUAGUUUCCAUUGGUAAUAUACAUCUUUUGUGCUGCUGCUUAUGCAAUGAAAGAACGUGUUGUAUGUGCUAGAUUUCAAAAGACACAAAGAAACAAUCAAUACUAUAUUCAACAAUUUGGUUCUAUAAAUCAGUAUCAAACAUUCAAAAAUUGUUGCCGUGCAGAAAAGCUAUGGAUGCACCAGACUCACUAUUAUAACUGCUUUGAGGGAAAAAUAUGCUGACCAAUUUUUCCAACCACCCAACUAUAUACUAUUCAUUUUUAAUAAACACUAUAUUAUUAAUUGCCUGACAACCACAGAAU